GGAGGCUGUUGAAGGGAUCUAAUUUCUUGGUACAUGCGCACGGGAGAAAAGCCUGCUACAGGGUCCUGAAAAGGCCUGAGUUUCAUGUGCACACAUCCAGCAGUGUGGAAUGGCAAAGUCUAGCUGUCGUCUGGCUCCCUUCAUCAUUCCGUGUAUCAGUUUCCUUUCAACACUGACCUCAGAGCUUGUCUUACUGUAUUUUCUCGGAGAAUGAUUUCUUGGGACUUCAUGAGGAGAAAGGCCUGGAGAGAUGGCUCAGCAAUUAAGAGCACUGGCUGCUCUCCCAGAGGUCCUGAGUUCAAUUCCCAGCAACCACAUGGAGGCUCACAGCCAGCUAUACAAUUGUAGUCCCAUGAAUUCCUAUGACUUCUUCUGGGGUGUGUGCAGAUGUACAUGCAGACAAGACAUCUGCAUAAAUAGACAAAUCUUUAAAAAACAAGGAGGAGGAGGAGGAGGAGGAGGAGUUGGAGGAGGAAGAGGAGGAAGAGGAGGAGGAGGAGGAGAAGCUCUUUGCAUGGUUGCCUCAGAACUCAGCACUGUAGCAAAUUAAAGCUGUUUUUUUGUUUG
This 567-nucleotide long non-coding RNA is filed under the name Mus pahari (shrew mouse). RNAcentral describes it as "lncRNA (MGP_PahariEiJ_G0006388.1)". The record is from RNAcentral. Lineage: Eukaryota; Metazoa; Chordata; Mammalia; Rodentia; Muridae.